CUCACACCUUCAUAUUCUUCUUAAAAACGUAUGCUCCACAAGAACAGAGACAAUGUUGUACAAUAAGGAGGACAUUUAGUAAGUUUCUAGACUUGCCCUCAACUUCCUACCUCUCAACACUGGACAGCACUGAAUGCAUAUACAAGACAGUCAAGGUUCUUUGUCUCCUAAACCAGAACCCUCUCCACCCAAAUAAACAAAGAAAUCCAUGAACAAGUCCCAUAGACUGAGUGGAACAGUGUGAAAGAAGCAGUGCCUAUGUUUCACUCUAUAUCACUUCCUUUUUAUAAACAUUCCUGAGAUAACAUUGCACUGUAAAUGAGAAGAAAGAUGCAUCUGAAAGUAGUCCUAAGUGCAAAUAACCUCU
RNAcentral lists this long non-coding RNA (367 nucleotides) under Marmota monax (woodchuck). The record is from RNAcentral. Lineage: Eukaryota; Metazoa; Chordata; Mammalia; Rodentia; Sciuridae.